AUUACAGAUAUAUGUAUGUAUGUAUGUAUCCCCUCCGUGAGUUGCCACCUUAUCGUGGUGGAGGGGUUUGUGUGCUCACAUGAUCCUGGGAGCUGUUCUGUCCGGAGCUCUCAGCUCCUCGUAGGGUUUCCCACGACAGCUUGGUCCCAGGUGACGAGUCAGACGAAGAGCAAUUCAGACGACCGAAAGCUCAGGGAGGAGCGCUGUUGUUUAAAGGGGGCUUUCACACCUGAAAGUCCUCAUUUGAGGAGAGACCGGAUUGCUUCCAUUGUGUCCGUCUGCAGUCUGAGGGUAGCGGACACGUAACAGAAUCAACAAACUGAUCCGCAAGGCCAGUGACAUUGUGGGGUUGGAGCUGGACUCUGUGUUGGUGGUGUCAGAGAGGAGGAUGCUGUCUAAACUACAUGUCAUCUUGGAUUCUGGAGAUUUAUAAAUGUCCUCAUUCCAGUGCAUUUGUUUAUUUCCAGUUUACGUGGAAAACGCCAAACUUCUGUAAAUAGUCUGAAAGUCCGGACCAUCAAAAAAUGCUUUCACAGUAGAAACAAACUGAACCACGGAUCCGGACCGAUACUACCUCUUUUCAUUGGACCAACUUUGGUCUAUUUGGUCGGGACAGUGGUCCGGGGGAGGUUUCAUUGAUUUUGGAAAUAACUAAAAAGUCUGAGAGUCUGGACCAAAUGAGAGGUAGGUGUGAAAGCCCUCUUAGUUACAGAUUUUCUUUAGUCCGUACCUUACGUGACGGUUGGCCCCUAGUCGGGCCACUCCAAAGGGUCCCAAGAUAAAUCAUAGUUCUGGGGUGAUUAAUGGGAGAGGACAGAAGAACGAGAGCUACUGGAUCAUUUCAACAGUUAUUUAAAACAUUUGAGUUUCUACGUCUGAAACACAACAACAGACACGAACCAAAUGGUUUGGAAACCACUGGUUUAAUUUCAAUGUCAAUUUGAAACGGUAAUGUAGUUCAGUAAAAAGUAAGACGUUGAUGCUUGUUUUCCAAAGCUCACAAUUAUGUCCUCAGAUCUCCAGCCCAAAAAUAACUGGGAGUGUCAAAUAGAGAAGCAAAGAAGCCACAAAAUAUUCCCAAUUUAAGACCAGGUGUGUUAGAAACUGACGGGUCUUGACCGUGCAUACGCAUGUGACGACAUGGGAGUGCAGAUUGUGUUGACAGUGUACGCUAUAGCAUACCUACUCCAUAAAUCUGAUGCAGAACUAUAAAUUGGCCUUCAGGGUGUGAACCAAUCAGGACAGCCGCUGUUCCCACAGCCAGCAAUAGUGACCGGAAGUAAAGAGACAAACAGGAAGUGGACAAAACCAGACCAGAGGUGAUCCCCACUCUACAGGCCUGCAGAUGUUUCUGACUGUUUCUCCUGGACUUCUGCGUGCUCCAAAGUAAAAACACAAGUGUACCCAGUAGUUCAUACCCCAGGUCUAAAAUAAGGACGUAUGUAGUUUGCCUUACUUCCUUUUUUGUUAGUGCCUGUGUUGAUGAGUACCGCCAAAUCUGCAGAUUUAUAAAGUACCACUUACCACGUCUUUGUGGUAAUUAGUACUUUCUGGUAAGAUUGAUGACAUCUGAUGGGAUGUGGAUAAGAAUCUGUGACCCAACAGAGAGGAACGCCGGCCUAGAGAUGUUUUCCUUGUUUACAUUUCUAGCGUGUCAUUCUUUCUGCAGUGCUGUCAGACAUCUUGUCUUUCUCUUUUCUGUAUCACAGUGCACACGUGUACAAACAGUAAAAGUGUAACUGUGAAUCCUGAAAUCUUUGUUCUGGUGAAACUGAUACGUGCCAAACUGAAAAAGUAAAAGCCUGCUGCAUUUACAUUCGAA
Long non-coding RNA from Micropterus salmoides (largemouth bass), 1822 nucleotides. RefSeq lists it as uncharacterized. The record is from RefSeq and is a predicted model, not a curated record. The transcript has 2 exons. Lineage: Eukaryota; Metazoa; Chordata; Actinopteri; Centrarchiformes; Centrarchidae.